Molecule: ribosomal RNA, 360 nt
Filed under: uncultured bacterium
Lineage: Bacteria
Description: bacterial SSU rRNA
Rfam family: Bacterial small subunit ribosomal RNA
Source: RNAcentral
AACGAACGCUGGCGGCAGGCCUAACACAUGCAAGUCGAACGCUCCGCAAGGGGAGUGGCGCACGGGUGAGUAACACGUGGGAACCUACCUUCUGGUACGGAACAACCAAGGGAAACUCUGGCUGAUACCGUAUACGACCUCCGGGUGAAAGAUUGAUCGCCGGAAGAGGGGCCCGCGUCCGAUUAGGUAGUUGGUGAGGUAACGGUUCACCAAGCCUGCGAUCGGUAGCUGGUCUGAGAGGAUGACCAGCCACACUGGGACUGAGACACGGCCCAGACUCCUACGGGAGGCAGCAGUGGGGAAUAUUGGACAAUGGGCGCAAGCCUGAUCCAGCCAUGCCGCGUGAGUGAUGAAGGCCUU